UUGUUCUACUCGGUUUUAUUCUUAUUGCUCAGGCUUGAGUGCACUGGCCUCUUCUCAGCUCAACCUCCGCCUCUUGGGUUCGGGUAAUGAUGGUUCCACGUCAGCGGCCCUCCGCCUCUUGGGUUUGCGUGACGGUUCCACGUCACCGACCCUCCGCCUCUUGGGUUCGGGUGAUGAUGGUUCCACGUCAGCGGCCCUCCGCCUCUUGGGUUUGCGUGACGGUUCCACAUCACCGACCCUCCGCCUCUUGGGUUCGGGUGAUGAUGGUUCCACGUCAGCGGCCCUCCGCCUCUUGGGUUUGCGUGACGGUUCCACGUCACCGACCCUCCGCCUCUUGGGUUCGGGAGGUGGUUCCAUCUCAGCCGCCCUCUGCCUCUUGGGUUUGCGUGGUUUUUCUGCCUCAGCCUCCUGAGUAGCUAAGGGAGGUGUCUUGAGAUUAUCAUCGGCUGAGGGUGGAAGCGGCCCCCGCAGACGCUCGGCAGGUGUCUUGAUAUUAUCAUCUGCUGAGGGUGGAGCUGAGGGUGGAAGGGGAGUGAGCUGACGCUCGGAAGGUGUCUUGAGAUUAUCAUCCGCUGAGGGUGGAAGCGGCCCCCGCAGACGCUCGGCAGGUGUCUUGAUAUUAUCAUCUGCUGAGGGUGGAGCUGAGGGUGGAAGGGGAGUGAGCUGACGCUCGGAAGGUGUCUUGAGAUUAUCAUCCGCUGAGGGUGGAAGCGGCCCCCGCAGACGCUCGGCAGGUGUCUUGAUAUUAUCAUCUGCUGAGGGUGGAGCUGAGGGUGGAAGGGGAGUGAGCUGACGCUCGGAAGGUGUCUUGAGAUUAUCAUCCGCUGAGGGUGGAAGGGGAUGGAGCAGACACUCGGCACGUGUCUUGAGAUUAUCAUCCGCUGAGGGUGGAGCUGAGGGUGGAGCUGAGGGUGGAAGGGGAGUGAGCAGACACUCGGGAGGUGUCUUGAGAUUAUCAUCCGCUGAGGGUGGAAGGGGAGUGAGCAGACACUCGGGAGGUGUCUUGAGAUUAUCAUCCGCUGAGGGUGGAAGGGGAGUGAGCAGACACUCAGGAGGUGUCUUGAGAUUAUCAUCCGCUGAGGGUGGAAGGGGAGUGAGCACACACUCGGGAGGUGUCUUGAGAUUAUCAUCCGCUGAGGGUGGAAGGGGAGUGAGCACACACUCGGGAGGUGUCUUGAGGCUCAGGGAGUUAUCAGUUAUAGAAUGUUGUUGAGUUGGAGGAGGUGGCUGGUGGCCCAUCCUGUUUUUUAAAGUUUCAGCUGUGAGGUAGGGCCAGUAGGGCAAUCCUGAAGAAUGACGAUGCUCCGCUGCCGCCAUUCUGACCUGUAGGGCCAAAGGAGGGAAUGUUU
This 1349-nucleotide long non-coding RNA is filed under the name Homo sapiens (human). RNAcentral describes it as "long non-coding RNA NONHSAT141609.2". Lineage: Eukaryota; Metazoa; Chordata; Mammalia; Primates; Hominidae. The record is from RNAcentral.